Molecule: small nuclear RNA, 20 nt
Filed under: Arabidopsis thaliana (thale cress)
Lineage: Eukaryota; Viridiplantae; Streptophyta; Magnoliopsida; Brassicales; Brassicaceae
Description: snRNA_05551
Source: RNAcentral
CGCCUUCAAAGCCGACUCAG